RNAcentral lists this ribosomal RNA (502 nucleotides) under uncultured bacterium. RNAcentral describes it as "partial 16S ribosomal RNA". It matches the Rfam family "Bacterial small subunit ribosomal RNA", at positions 28 to 507 of the family's 1533-position model. The record is from RNAcentral.
GAUUAACGCUGGCGGCGUGCCUAACACAUGCAAGUCGAGCGGCAGCGAGUUUUACACUGAAUUCUGGAAGCUUCUAGUUGAAAGAGAAGAUUUAUUCAAGAAUUUUGUGUAAAAUGUCGGCGAGCGGCGGACGGCUGAGUAACGCGUGGGAACGUACCCCAAAGUGAGGGAUAACGCAUCGAAAGGUGUGCUAAUACCGCAUAUGGUCUUCGGAUUAAAGCCUUCGGGCGCUUUGGGAACGGCCUGCGUAAGAUUAGAUAGUUGGUGGGGUAAUGGCCUACCAAGUCGACGAUCUUUAACUGGUUUGAGAGGAUGAUCAGUCAGACUGGAACUGAGACACGGUCCAGACUCCUACGGGAGGCAGCAGUGAGGAAUCUUCCACAAUGGGUGAAAGCCUGAUGGAGCAACGCCGCGUGCAGGAUGAAGGCCUUCGGGUUGUAAACUGCUUUUAUAAGUGAGGACUAUGACAGUAACUUAUGAAUAAGGAUCGGCUAACUACGUG